RNAcentral lists this transfer RNA (57 nucleotides) under Opitutia bacterium. Its description in RNAcentral is "tRNA-Arg". It matches the Rfam family "tRNA", at positions 8 to 61 of the family's 71-position model. From Rfam's summary of the family: Transfer RNA (tRNA) molecules are approximately 80 nucleotides in length. Their secondary structure includes four short double-helical elements and three loops (D, anti-codon, and T loops). The record is from RNAcentral. Lineage: Bacteria; Pseudomonadati; Verrucomicrobiota; Opitutia.
UAGCUCAAUUGGAUAGAGCACCUGACUACGGAUCAGGAGGUUGGGGGUUCGACUCCC